UCCCUGCCUCGUCCAUGUGUGUCG
RNAcentral lists this unclassified non-coding RNA (24 nucleotides) under Mus musculus (house mouse). RNAcentral's name for it is "oocyte_clustered_small_RNA9070". Lineage: Eukaryota; Metazoa; Chordata; Mammalia; Rodentia; Muridae. The record is from RNAcentral.